Small nuclear RNA from Camelus dromedarius (Arabian camel), 104 nucleotides. The record is from Ensembl. Lineage: Eukaryota; Metazoa; Chordata; Mammalia; Artiodactyla; Camelidae.
GUGCUUGCUUAGGCAGCACAUACACUAAAAUUGGAACCAUACAGAGAUUAGCAUGGUCCCUGCACAAGGAUGACACCCAAAUUCAUGAAGUAUUCCAUAUUUUU